Molecule: transfer RNA, 65 nt
Filed under: Tenebrionidae sp. 1 ACP-2013
Lineage: Eukaryota; Metazoa; Arthropoda; Insecta; Coleoptera; Tenebrionidae
Description: tRNA-His
Source: RNAcentral
AUUUAAAUAGUUUAAUUAAAAUUUUGAUUUGUGGUGUCAAAGACGUGUUAAUAAUACUUUAAAUA